UACGGAGGGUGCGAGCGUUGUCCGGAAUCACUGGGCGUAAAGGGCGCGUAGGCGGCCUGGUAAGUAGGGGGUGAAAUCCUGCGGCUUAACCGCAGGGCUGCCUUCUAAACUGUCAGGCUCGAGCACGGUAGAGGCAGAUGGAAUUCCCGGUGUAGCGGUGGAAUGCGUAGAUAUCGGAAGGAACAUCAGUGGCGAAAGCGACUUCCUGGACCAAUACUGACGCUCAUGUGCGAAAGCGUGGGGAGCAAACAGG
This 253-nucleotide ribosomal RNA is filed under the name uncultured bacterium. RNAcentral describes it as "partial 16S ribosomal RNA". It matches the Rfam family "Bacterial small subunit ribosomal RNA", at positions 524 to 776 of the family's 1533-position model. The record is from RNAcentral.